RNAcentral lists this ribosomal RNA (424 nucleotides) under uncultured bacterium. RNAcentral describes it as "bacterial SSU rRNA". It matches the Rfam family "Bacterial small subunit ribosomal RNA", at positions 355 to 776 of the family's 1533-position model. The record is from RNAcentral.
UGAGGAAUAUUGGUCAAUGGACGAGAGUCUGAACCAGCCAAGUAGCGUGAAGGAUGACUGCCCUAUGGGUUGUAAACUUCUUUUAUAUGGGAAUAAAACAGGGUAUGCAUACCCUCUUGUAUGUACCAUAUGAAUAAGGAUCGGCUAACUCCGUGCCAGCAGCCGCGGUAAUACGGAGGAUCCGAGCGUUAUCCGGAUUUAUUGGGUUUAAAGGGAGCGUAGAUGGGUUGUUAAGUCAGUUGUGAAAGUUUGCGGCUCAACCGUAAAAUUGCAAUUGAUACUGGCAAUCUUGAGUACAGUUGAGGUAGGCGGAAUUCGUGGUGUAGCGGUGAAAUGCUUAGAUAUCACGAAGAACUCCGAUUGCGAAGGCAGUUCACUGGACUGCAACUGACACUGAGGCUCGAAAGUGUGGGUAUCAAACAGG